This 72-nucleotide transfer RNA is filed under the name Ovis aries (sheep). It matches the Rfam family "tRNA". Rfam says of the family: Transfer RNA (tRNA) molecules are approximately 80 nucleotides in length. Their secondary structure includes four short double-helical elements and three loops (D, anti-codon, and T loops). The record is from Rfam by way of RNAcentral. Lineage: Eukaryota; Metazoa; Chordata; Mammalia; Artiodactyla; Bovidae.
UCCCUGGUGGCUCAGACAGUAAAGCAUCUGCCUAAAAUGCAGGAGACCCAGGUUCAAUCCCUGGGUUGGGAA